UAGAGUUUGAUCCUGGCUCAGGAUGAACGCUAGCUACAGGCUUAACACAUGCAAGUCGAGGGGAAACGACAUUGGAAGCUUGCUUCCGGUGGGCGUCGACCGGCGCACGGGUGAGUAACGCGUAUCCAACCUGCCCACCACUUGGGAAUAACCUUGCGAAAGUAAGACUAAUGCCCAAUGACAUUGAGUGCAGACAUCUAAUCUCAAUUAAAGAUUCAUCGGUGAUGGAUGGGGAUGCGUCCGAUUAGCUUGUUGGCGGGGUAACGGCCCACCAAGGCGACGAUCGGUAGGGGUUCUGAGAGGAAGGUCCCCCACAUUGGAACUGAGACACGGGUCCAAACUCCUACGGGAGGCAGCAGUGAGGAAUAUUGGUCAAUGGGCGAGAGCCUGAACCAGCCAAGUAGCGUGCAGGAUGACGGCCCUAUGGGUUGUAAACUGCUUUUAUAAGGGAAUAAAGUGAGAGUCGUGACUCUUUUUGCAUGUACCUUAUGAAUAAGGACCGGCUAAUUCCGUGCCAGCAGCCGCGGUAAUACGGAAGGUCCGGGCGUUAUCCGGAUUUAUUGGGUUUAAAGGGAGCGUAGGCCGCAGGUUAAGCGUGUUGUGAAAUGUAGGGGCUCAACCUCUGCACUGCAGCGCGAACUGGCUUGCUUGAGUACGCACAACGUGGGCGGAAUUCGUGGUGUAGCGGUGAAAUGCUUAGAUAUCACGAAGAACUCCGAUUGCGAAGGCAGCUCACGGGAGCGCAACUGACGCUGAAGCUCGAAAGUGCGGGUAUCGAACAGGAUUAGAUACCCUGGUAGUCCGCACGGUAAACGAUGGAUGCCCGCUGUUGGCUUGAAUUAGUCAGCGGCCAAGCGAAAGCAUUAAGCAUCCCACCUGGGGAGUACGCCGGCAACGGUGAAACUCAA
Molecule: ribosomal RNA, 908 nt
Filed under: uncultured bacterium
Lineage: Bacteria
Description: bacterial SSU rRNA
Rfam family: Bacterial small subunit ribosomal RNA
Source: RNAcentral